Molecule: ribosomal RNA, 252 nt
Filed under: uncultured bacterium
Lineage: Bacteria
Description: partial 16S ribosomal RNA
Rfam family: Bacterial small subunit ribosomal RNA
Source: RNAcentral
UACGGAGGAUGCGAGCGUUAUCCGGAUUUAUUGGGUUUAAAGGGUGCGUAGGCGGGCUUUUAAGUCAGCGGUAAAAAUUCGGGGCUCAACCCCGUCCGGCCGUUGAAACUGGGGGUCUUGAGUGGGCGAGAAGAAGGCGGAAUGCGUGGUGUAGCGGUGAAAUGCAUAGAUAUCACGCAGAACCCCGAUUGCGAAGGCAGCCUCCCGGCGCCCUACUGACGCUGAGGCACGAAAGUGCGGGGAUCGAACAGG